Molecule: ribosomal RNA, 579 nt
Filed under: uncultured bacterium
Lineage: Bacteria
Description: bacterial SSU rRNA
Rfam family: Bacterial small subunit ribosomal RNA
Source: RNAcentral
ACGGGUGAGUAAUGUCUGGGGAUCUGCCCGAUAGAGGGGGAUAACCACUGGAAACGGUGGCUAAUACCGCAUAACGUCGCAAGACCAAAGAGGGGGACCUUCGGGCCUCUCACUAUCGGAUGAACCCAGAUGGGAUUAGCUAGUAGGCGGGGUAAUGGCCCACCUAGGCGACGAUCCCUAGCUGGUCUGAGAGGAUGACCAGCCACACUGGAACUGAGACACGGUCCAGACUCCUACGGGAGGCAGCAGUGGGGAAUAUUGCACAAUGGGCGCAAGCCUGAUGCAGCCAUGCCGCGUGCAUGAAGAAGGCCUUCGGGUUGUAAAGUACUUUCAGCGGGGAGGAAGGCGACGGGGUUAAUAACCCUGUCGAUUGACGUUACCCGCAGAAGAAGCACCGGCUAACUCCGUGCCAGCAGCCGCGGUAAUACGGAGGGUGCAAGCGUUAAUCGGAAUUACUGGGCGUAAAGCGCACGCAGGCGGUCUGUUAAGUCAGAUGUGAAAUCCCCGGGCUUAACCUGGGAACUGCAUUUGAAACUGGCAGGCUUGAGUCUUGUAGAGGGGGGUAGAAUUCCAGGUGUA